This is a long non-coding RNA of Larimichthys crocea (large yellow croaker), 288 nucleotides long. RefSeq lists it as uncharacterized. Lineage: Eukaryota; Metazoa; Chordata; Actinopteri; Sciaenidae. The record is from RefSeq and is a predicted model, not a curated record. The transcript has 3 exons.
AAGCUGCUGUGUGAUUUUCUAGGGAGUCCACACUGCAGACUGAAGACUCUGAGAUUGUGGCGCUGCAGUUUGUCAGAGAUCAGCUGUGCUUCUCUGGCCUCAGCUCUGAAGUCCAACCCCUCCCAUCUGACGGAGCUGGACCUGAGAGAGAACAACCUGCAGGACUCAGGAGUGAAGCUGCUGUGUGAUCUUGUGGAGAGUCCACACUGCAGACUGAAGACUCUGAGCUGGAAGUGAUGAGAAAGGUGUUUGUGUUGAGAGAGGAUCAGCUGAGUCCUGAUGAUCCAG